AUACGGAGGAUCCGAGCGUUAUCCGGAUUUAUUGGGUUUAAAGGGAGCGUAGGUGGGAUAUUAAGUCAGCUGUGAAAGUUUGGGGCUCAACCUUAAAAUUGCAGUUGAUACUGGUUUCCUUGAGUACGGUACAGGUGGGCGGAAUUCGUGGUGUAGCGGUGAAAUGCUUAGAUAUCACGAAGAACUCCGAUCGCGAAGGCAGCUCACCGGGCCGGAACUGACACUGAUGCUCGAAAGUGCGGGUAUCAAACAGGAUUAGAUACCCUGGUAGUCCGCACAGUAAACGAUGAAUACUCGCUGUUUGCGAUGCACGGUAAGCGGCCAAGCGAAAGCGUUAAGUAUUCCACCUGGGGAGUACGCCGGCAACGGUGAAACUCAAAUGAAUUGACGGGG
RNAcentral lists this ribosomal RNA (393 nucleotides) under uncultured bacterium. RNAcentral's name for it is "partial 16S ribosomal RNA". It matches the Rfam family "Bacterial small subunit ribosomal RNA", at positions 523 to 918 of the family's 1533-position model. The record is from RNAcentral.